CACGUAGGGUCCGAGCGUUGUCCGGAAUUACUGGGCGUAAAGCGUGCGUAGGCGGUUCGUUAAGUCAGCUGUGAAAGCCCCGGGCUCAACCUGGGAACUGCGGUUGAAACUGGCGAACUAGAAUCUGGCAGAGGGGGGUGGAAUUCCACGUGUAGCAGUGAAAUGCGUAGAGAUGUGGAGGAACACCGAUGGCGAAGGCAGCCCCCUGGGCUGAGAUUGACGCUCAGGCACGAAAGCGUGGGGAGCAAACAGG
This 253-nucleotide ribosomal RNA is filed under the name uncultured bacterium. RNAcentral's name for it is "partial 16S ribosomal RNA". It matches the Rfam family "Bacterial small subunit ribosomal RNA", at positions 524 to 776 of the family's 1533-position model. The record is from RNAcentral.